UGGGGAAUAUUGCACAAUGGGGGAAACCCUGAUGCAGCGACGCCGCGUGAACGAAGAAGGUAUUUGUAUCGUAAAGGUCUGUCCUAUGGGAAGAUAAUGACAGUACCAUAGAAGAAAGCUCCGGCUAAAUACGUGCCAGCAGCCGCGGUAAUACGUAUGGAGCGAGCGUUGUCCGGAAUUAUUGGGCGUAAAGGGUACGCAGGCGGUUUAAUAAGUCGAAUGUUAAAGAUCGGGGCUCAACCCCGUAAAGCAUUGGAAACUGAUAAACUUGAGUAGUGGGAAGGAAAAAAGAAUUCCUAGUGUAGUGGUGAAAUACGUAGUUAUUAGAAGGAAUACCAGUAGCGAAGGCGACUAUCUGGACACAAACUGACGCUGAGGUACGAAAGCGUGGGGAGCAAACAGG
RNAcentral lists this ribosomal RNA (403 nucleotides) under bacterium. Its description in RNAcentral is "partial 16S ribosomal RNA". It matches the Rfam family "Bacterial small subunit ribosomal RNA", at positions 355 to 776 of the family's 1533-position model. The record is from RNAcentral.